RNAcentral lists this ribosomal RNA (111 nucleotides) under Kiritimatiellia bacterium. RNAcentral's name for it is "Kiritimatiellae bacterium (gut metagenome) partial 16S ribosomal RNA". It matches the Rfam family "Bacterial small subunit ribosomal RNA", at positions 1 to 104 of the family's 1533-position model. Lineage: Bacteria; Pseudomonadati; Kiritimatiellota; Kiritimatiellia. The record is from RNAcentral.
UUUUCUGAGAGUUUGAUUCUGGCUCAGAACGAACGCUGGCAGCGUGGAUUAGGCAUGCAAGUCGAACGGGAUCACCGAGGUAGCAAUACUGAGGUGUGAGAGUGGCGGAUU